This 1122-nucleotide ribosomal RNA is filed under the name Triticum aestivum (bread wheat). RNAcentral describes it as "partial small subunit ribosomal RNA". Lineage: Eukaryota; Viridiplantae; Streptophyta; Magnoliopsida; Poales; Poaceae. The record is from RNAcentral.
AUGGAUCUGGCCAUGGGGGCCAUGGGCUCCCUCCUCCACAAACUGCUCGAGGUCAUCAAGGACGAGUACAACCUACAGAAGGAAGUUAAGCAAAAGGUCGAGUCCUUCUCUGCUGAGCUGAAAGCUAUGCAAGCUGCCCUUGGCAAGGUGGCAGAGGUGCCGCGCGAUCAACUCGAAGACGAGACCAAGGUUUGGGCUGACGAAGUUAGGGAGCUGUCUUACGAAAUGGAGGAUGUCAUCGACUCUCUCCUGGUGCGUGUUGUGGGCUGUGACCCCAACCCCAGUGAUGAGCAGAACAGGCUCGAGAAGCUCUGGGUCAGCUUCAAGAAGCUGUUCAAAAGGGGCAAGGCAAAACAUCGGAUUUCCACAGAUAUUGAAGAGAUUGACAAGCAGUUGCAAAAAGUCGCCAUCCGACACGAAAGGUAUGAAACUCCUAAUCUACCUGCAGCCACAAGGGCCACCCUUGAUCCUUUCUUGGAGGUUCUCUAUGGAGAUAAGAAGAAUAUCAUCGGCCUAGAGGAAGCAAGGAACGAUAUUAUCAAGAAGAUCACUGAGGGUGACUGUAAGCAACUCAAGACACUCUCUAUUGUUGGAUUUGGAGGAUUGGGCAAGACUACGCUUGCCAAAGAAGUGUAUGAUGCCCUUGCAACAAAAUUUGGACACAAAGCUUUUGUGUCUGUGUCUCGGAAUCCCGACAUGAAGAAAGUAUUAAGCGAUCUCCUCUUUAAACUUGACAAGAAAAUACAUGCUAGUCAUAAUGCAGAAAAUUUGGCAGUAGAGAAGCUCAUCAUCCUAAUUAAAGAAUUUCUUAGCAACAAAAGGUACUUUAUAAUUCUCGAUGAUUUAUGGGAUAAAAAAGCAUGGAAAGAAAUCAGUUAUGCACUUACCGACGAUAAGUGUGGAAGUAUAAUAAUCACUACAACCCGCCAUGUUGAGAUCUCUAAGGAAUGUUGCUCUUCUAAAGAUGGUAUGAUUCAUAAGAUGAAAUCUCUCUCUGAUGAUGACUCGCAAAAACUUUUCUAUGGAAGAAUAUUUCUAAGUGAGGUGUGUCCUUCUCGGUUUGAGCAAGUAUCCAAAGAGAUUCUUGAAAAAAUGUGCAGGGGUACCAUUAGCCGUCAUUAG